CCUACGGGUGGCUGCAGUGGGGAAUAUUGGACAAUGGGGGGAACCCUGAUCCAGCCAUGCCGCGUGUGUGAAGAAGGCCCUCGGGUUGUAAAGCACUUUCAGUGAGGAAGAACGCCUGGUGGUUAAUACCCAUCAGGAAAGAGAUCACUCACAGAAGAAGCACCGGCUAACUCCGUGCCAGCAGCCGCGGUAAUACGGAGGGUGCGAGCGUUAAUCGGAAUUACUGGGCGUAAAGCGCGCGUAGGUGGCUUGAUAAGCCGGUUGUGAAAGCCCCGGGCUCAACCUGGGAACGGCAUCCGGAACUGUCAAGCUAGAGUGCAGGAGAGGAAGGUAGAAUUCCCGGUGUAGCGGUGAAAUGCGUAGAGAUCGGGAGGAAUACCAGUGGCGAAGGCGGCCUUCUGGACUGACACUGACACUGAGGUGCGAAAGCGUGGGUAGCAAACAGGAUUAGAUACCCCAGUAGUC
RNAcentral lists this ribosomal RNA (465 nucleotides) under Vreelandella stevensii. Its description in RNAcentral is "partial 16S ribosomal RNA". It matches the Rfam family "Bacterial small subunit ribosomal RNA", at positions 338 to 795 of the family's 1533-position model. The record is from RNAcentral. Lineage: Bacteria; Pseudomonadati; Pseudomonadota; Gammaproteobacteria; Oceanospirillales; Halomonadaceae.